UAAUUAGCUAUCAGCCUCUCACCGAAUAAAGAUAAACAUGAACAUUAUAUCUUAAUUAAUUUUAUAUAUUUUCUACAAUUAUCAACCUUGGAUCGAUACAUUUUGCCCUAAAUAGCUCAUUAAUUUGCUCUAUAAGCAACAUGUUAUUAUGUACAAAGUUAAUUCAAUCUUCCCCUAGCUUAGAGGGCAUGACAGUACAUCAUUUUCUUCCUUUGGUUGUUGCAGAGACGUUAGCCGCUCAACUAGUAUGUCCAAGGCUUCCUUCAUCCACCAAUGUCUACAUACAUCUCUGGCUUCCUCCACAGUCAUCUGUAUCAAACAGUUUCACAUAUAAAUUAGGGCACACCACACCAAUUUGGUAAUUAUUUUACCAUUUUAUUUUGGUCGUUUUUCAAUUAAGAAUAUAGUUUAAUUAUAUUUAGAGGUUAAGAGUUCAAUUCUUUGAUGAAGAAACAAGAGAUUUGCAGACUGGUUGCUCACCCAAAUUCUUUGACGGACAUGUUUUUCUGGCCAGAGAUCAAGUUGCUCUGUGACUAGCAAAGGGAACAUAUACCCUUCAUAAAAUGUGCCAAGCCUUUUGCUCAAGAAGUUCCAUUUGCCUAGUUCAUCCUCAACAUGGCCAAGAACUCCAGCCUCUUCAAGACACUCCCUAGAAGCUGCUUCUUCCACAGAUUCAUCAAGCUCCCAGCCACCCUUGGGAAACAUCAUUUCUUGACCCUUCUGUGAAGUGAUGACAAGAACCUCCAGUUCAUCACCAAUGGAGCCAUAGCUGCAAUUCUUGAAUCUAUAUGGAAUGCAUCCUACAACUUGGCGGCGACCCUGGUUAUCAUAUCUCUGCAACUCCCUUCCUGAGCGAGAGAUCAAACAAGCCAUCUUCCAAAGACUUAUGUAUGUACGUAAAGGGGAAAAAAAAAAACUUCAACUAGAAAUAAUUGCCACUAGAAAUGAAUCAAAUUUUGUAAGUUGGUGAAUUGAAAGAGAAAAGGGUACGUGAGGGCUUGCUUUAAAUCUUCCUUUUCUAGUUCUAGUUCUAGUUUUAGUUUUUCUUGGGUUACACUAACACAAUCUUGGGAAUCAAUUACGUACAGAUUGGUUCUUAUAUGGUAGGAUAAAAAAAGAUAAUUAAAAAUAGUGGCAAUAAGCAGGCGAAAGAGAUAGAAGAAGGCACAGAUCAAGAACCAUGAAAGAGAUAGCUAGAGAAAGGCUGGCCAUACCAAUGAAACAAAAGGUUUAUA
Molecule: unclassified non-coding RNA, 1235 nt
Filed under: Hevea brasiliensis (rubber tree)
Lineage: Eukaryota; Viridiplantae; Streptophyta; Magnoliopsida; Malpighiales; Euphorbiaceae
Source: RNAcentral